CAAUAACAGGAAUAUAUCCUUUGCUCUCGAAAGAAUAGAUGAACAUCCAAAAAGGGUCAAAGAAUAUACUUUAUUAUAUUUCAUUUUAAUACCAACUGUUGGAGAACAUAAGCAAAAGUAGUAAUAUUCUUGGUAUAUAUCUUUUCCAAGAAAAACUACAAAUUAACAACUGUAAAACUGCAGCUAUAGCAAGGUUAUCAUUGUAAUCUUCAUCUCCAG
This 219-nucleotide long non-coding RNA is filed under the name Prunus persica (peach). Its description in RNAcentral is "long non-coding RNA (PPER_LNC005865)". Lineage: Eukaryota; Viridiplantae; Streptophyta; Magnoliopsida; Rosales; Rosaceae. The record is from RNAcentral.